CAGCAAGCUGGAGAAAUGCAUCAGAGCAGGUGCCUUUCAUUUGCCAAGACAUGACAGUCACACACUCAGAUCAUUUGGCAUAUUUCAGAAAAAAAAACAUAUGUUCAUCUGCUCAUACUGGAGCAACAAAAGAAGCAAAUGACAGGGUUAAGAUAUGCAGAUGAGAGAGAUCCCCAACUAUCAUCUCAUCCCCCCUCUCUCUACAAUGGACCAUGACUGAGAGUGAAAUAUAGUAUAGAGAGUUUGUAUAGGCAGUCAGUGCAAUAUCAGCAGUUCAGAGCAAUAUAGACGGAUUUUGUACUAGAUAACAGCAGCAUACUUGUAAAAAAUAAAUUAUGUAUAUAUAUAUAUAAUAUUUAUCCUAAAGAACUGAAUGUGUAAGGUGCUGUAUACAUCCUAGUAUAUGUAAACAUUACAGAAGUUUUGAGUAAAAGGCAUUUGUAAAAAAACAGAUGACAGCAGUAUGACAGUAGUACAAAAAGACUGUAAUGUGUAAAGUGCAACAGUAUCAGAUUUAAAGAAUUUGUACAUGUAACAAUUUUUAAAUAGGUGUUUAUAAACAGGUCCAUUUGUGCAGAAUUCUACAGAGUAUAAAGUGUCUUAUGUGCAAUGAAGUGUGGGGUGAGCUGUAAAAUAGCUUAGUGAGAGCUGUAAAGGUUUAAACAUUAAGUUUAAAGUACACCUGAAAGCAGAAUGUGAUUUUCAAAUAGGUAACUUUUCUUGGAUCCUGUUUCUGUUUGAAUGCUUUAAAUAACUCUGUUCUUUUAAUUAUCAAAAGAUGUGUAUUUUAAUAAAUAUAUGGUGAAAACUAUCUCACA
Molecule: long non-coding RNA, 818 nt
Organism: Silurus meridionalis
Lineage: Eukaryota; Metazoa; Chordata; Actinopteri; Siluriformes; Siluridae
Exons: 2
Source: RefSeq, a predicted model, not a curated record